GACGAACGCUGGCGGUGUGCUUCACACAUGCAAGUCGAACGAGGUAGCAAUACCUAGUGGCGGACGGGUGAGUAACGCGUGGGAAUCUGCCUUUUAGAUGGGGGAUAACGAGCCGAAAGGUUCGCUAAUACCGCAUAGGUCGCAAGAUUAAAGGAGUAAUCCGUCUAGAGAUGAGCCCGCGUCCGAUUAGCUAGUUGGUAAGGUAAAGGCUUACCAAGGCGAUUAUCGGUAGCUGGUCUGAGAGGACGAUCAGCCACACGGGAACUGAGACACGGUCCCGACUCCUACGGGGGGCGAGCAGUGAGGAAUAUUGGGCAAUGGGCGAAAGACCUGACCCAGCAACGCCGCGUGGAGGAUGAAGGCUUUAGGGUUGUAAACUCCUUUUGUGGGGGAAAAGAAUGGAUGGUACCCCAAGAAUAAGUCACGGCUAA
RNAcentral lists this ribosomal RNA (431 nucleotides) under uncultured bacterium. RNAcentral describes it as "bacterial SSU rRNA". It matches the Rfam family "Bacterial small subunit ribosomal RNA", at positions 28 to 500 of the family's 1533-position model. The record is from RNAcentral.